This 460-nucleotide ribosomal RNA is filed under the name uncultured bacterium. RNAcentral describes it as "partial 16S ribosomal RNA". It matches the Rfam family "Bacterial small subunit ribosomal RNA", at positions 338 to 795 of the family's 1533-position model. The record is from RNAcentral.
CCUACUGGAGGCAGCAGUGAGGAAUAUUGGUCAAUGGGCGCGAGCCUGAACCAGCCAAGUAGCGUGAAGGAUGACUUCCCUACGGGUUGUAAACCUCUUUUAUCAAGGAAUAAAGUGAGGCACGUGUGCCUUUCUGUAUGUUCUUUAUGAAUAAGGAUCGGCUAACUCCGUGCCAGCAGCCGCGGUAAUACGGAGUGUCCGAGCGUUAUCCGGAUUUGUUGGGUUUAAAGGGAGCGUAGAUGGGUUGUUAAGUCAGUUGUGAAAGUUUGCGGCUCAACCGUAAAAUUGCAAUUGAUACUGGCAGCCUUGAGUACAGUUGAGGAAGGCGGAAUUCGUGGUGUAGCGGUGAAAUGCUUAGAUAUCACGAAGAACUCCGAUUGCGAAGGCAGCUUACUAAACUGCCACUGACAUUGAUGCUCGAAAGUGUGGGUAUCAAACAGGAUUAGAUACCCGUGUAGUC